This 490-nucleotide ribosomal RNA is filed under the name uncultured bacterium. Its description in RNAcentral is "partial 16S ribosomal RNA". It matches the Rfam family "Bacterial small subunit ribosomal RNA", at positions 30 to 507 of the family's 1533-position model. The record is from RNAcentral.
AUUGAACGCUGGCGGCAGGCCUAACACAUGCAAGUCGAACGGUAACAGGAAGAAGCUUGCUUCUUUGCUGACGAGUGGCGGACGGGUGAGUAAUGUCUGGGAAACUGCCUGAUGGAGGGGGAUAACUACUGGAAACGGUAGCUAAUACCGCAUAACGUCGCAAGACCAAAGAGGGGGACCUUCGGGCCUCUUGCCAUCGGAUGUGCCCAGAUGGGAUUAGCUAGUAGGUGGGGUAACGGCUCACCUAGGCGACGAUCCCUAGCUGGUCUGAGAGGAUGACCAGACACACUGGAACUGAGACACGGUCCAGACUCCUACGGGAGACAGCAGUGGGGAAUAUUGCACAAUGGGCGCAAGCCUGAUGCAGCCAUGCCGCGUGUAUGAAGAAGGCCUUCGGGUUGUAAAGUACUUUCAGCGGGGAGGAAGGGAGUAAAGUUAAUACCUUUGCUCAUUGACGUUACCCGCAGAAGAAGCACCGGCUAACUCCGUG